AUUGAACGCUGGCGGUAUGCCUAACACAUGCAAGUCGAACGGCAGCACAGUAAGAGCUUCCGCUUACGGGUGGCGGGUUGCGUACGGCUGAGGAAUACAUCCGAAUCUACUGUUUAGUGGGGGAUAACGUGGGGAAACUUACGCUAAUACCUCAUACGACCUGCGGGUGACAGCAGGGGAUCUUCUGACCUUGCGCGAUUGAAUGAGCCGAUGUCGGAUUAGCUAGUUGGCGGGGUAAAGGCCCACCAAGGCGACGAUCCGUAGCUGGUCUGAGAGGAUGAUCAGCCAAACUUGAACUGAGACACGGUCCCGAAUCCUACGGGAGGGAGCAGUGGGGAAUAUUGGACAAUGGGCGCAAGCCUGAUCCAGCCAUACCGCGUGGGUGAAGAAGGCCUUCGGGUUGGAAAGCCCUUUUGUUGGGAAAGAAAAGCAGCAGGUUAAAACCCCGCGGUUCUGACGGUACCCAAAGAAUAAGCACCGGCUAACUUCGUG
This 492-nucleotide ribosomal RNA is filed under the name uncultured bacterium. RNAcentral describes it as "partial 16S ribosomal RNA". It matches the Rfam family "Bacterial small subunit ribosomal RNA", at positions 30 to 507 of the family's 1533-position model. The record is from RNAcentral.